GAUGAACGCUGGCGGCGUGCUUAACACAUGCAAGUCGAACGGAAAGGCCCAAGCUUGCUUGGGUCCUCGAGUGGCGAACGGGUGAGUAACACGUGGGUGAUCUGCCCUGCACUUCGGGAUAAGCCUGGGAAACUGGGUCUAAUACCGGAUAGGACCACAUUUUGGAUGGUGUGGUGGAAAGUUUUUCGGUGUGGGAUGAGCUCGCGGCCUAUCAGCUUGUUGGUGGGGUAAUGGCCUACCAAGGCGUCGACGGGUAGCCGGCCUGAGAGGGUGUACGGCCAAAUUGGGACUGAGAUACGGCCCAGACUCCUACGGGAGGCAGCAGUGGGGAAUAUUGAACAAUGGGCGCAAGCCUGAUGCAGCGAAGCCGCGUGGGGGAUGACGGCCUUCGGGUUGUAAACUCCUUUCGCUAGGGACGAAGCGUUAUGUGACGGUACCUGGAGAAGAAGCACCGGCUAACUACGUG
RNAcentral lists this ribosomal RNA (466 nucleotides) under uncultured bacterium. RNAcentral's name for it is "partial 16S ribosomal RNA". It matches the Rfam family "Bacterial small subunit ribosomal RNA", at positions 28 to 507 of the family's 1533-position model. The record is from RNAcentral.